AUUGAACGCUGGCGGCAGGCCUAACACAUGCAAGUCGAACGGUAACAGGGUUCAGCUUGCUGAUUCGCUGACGAGUGGCGGACGGGUGAGUCAUGUCUGGGAAACUGCCUGAUGGAGGGGGAUAACUACUGGAAACGGUAGCUAAUACCGCAUAACGUCGCAAGCCCAAAGAGGGGGAGCUUCGGGCCUCUUGCCAUCGGAUGCGCCCAGAUGGGAUUAGCUAGUAGGUGGGGUAACGUCUCACCUAGGCGACGAUCCCUAGCUGGUGUGAGAGGAUGACCGGCCACACUGGAACUGGAACACGGUCCAGACUCCUACGGGAGGCAGCAGUGGGGAAUAUUGCACAGUGGGCGCAAGCCUGAUGCAGCCAUGCCGCGUGUAUGAAGAAGGCCUUCGGGUUGUAAAGUACUUUCAGCGGGGAGGAAGGGAGUAAAGUUAAGACCUUUGCUCAUUGACGUUACCCGCAGAAGAAGCACCGGCUAACUCCGUG
RNAcentral lists this ribosomal RNA (490 nucleotides) under uncultured bacterium. Its description in RNAcentral is "partial 16S ribosomal RNA". It matches the Rfam family "Bacterial small subunit ribosomal RNA", at positions 30 to 507 of the family's 1533-position model. The record is from RNAcentral.